CCAGUGAGGGAAUUAAGGACGGCACUUUGUCCUUGUAACAGGGAUCCAUCAGGCUGGCCACCCAGUAAUCAGCACAAGUUAGAAUGUGGGCAACUCGGCAGUCGUUGCACAGGCACUUUGGUGACUCUAGAUAACCUUGGGCCGAUCGCAUGUCCCCGUGAUGGCGACGACGCAUUCAGAUGUCUGCCCUAUCAACUUUCGAUGGUACUUUCUACGCCUACCUUGGUGACCACGGGUAACGGGGAAUCAAGGUUCGAUUCCA
Pelobates cultripes (western spadefoot toad) is the source of this 262-nucleotide non-coding RNA. Lineage: Eukaryota; Metazoa; Chordata; Amphibia; Anura; Pelobatidae. The record is from the annotation of a GenBank genome assembly.